RNAcentral lists this ribosomal RNA (256 nucleotides) under uncultured bacterium. Its description in RNAcentral is "partial small subunit ribosomal RNA". It matches the Rfam family "Bacterial small subunit ribosomal RNA", at positions 26 to 285 of the family's 1533-position model. The record is from RNAcentral.
AGGACGAACGCUGGCGGCGUGCUUAACACAUGCAAGUCGAGCGGAAAGGCCCUUCGGGGUACUCGAGCGGCGAACGGGUGAGUAACACGUGAGUAACCUGCCCUAGGCUUUGGGAUAACCCUCGGAAACGGGGGCUAAUACUGGAUAUUCCCGCGGGAUCGCAUGGUUUUGUGGGGAAAGGUUUUCCGGCUUGGGAUGGGCUCGCGGCCUAUCAGCUUGUUGGUGGGGUGAUGGCCUACCAAGGCGACGACGGGUA